This 600-nucleotide ribosomal RNA is filed under the name uncultured Antarctic cyanobacterium. Its description in RNAcentral is "bacterial SSU rRNA". It matches the Rfam family "Bacterial small subunit ribosomal RNA", at positions 378 to 980 of the family's 1533-position model. The record is from RNAcentral. Lineage: Bacteria; Bacillati; Cyanobacteriota.
AAAGCCUGACGGAGCAAGACCGCGUGGGGGAAGAAGGCUCUUGGGUUGUAAACCCCUUUUCUCUGGGAAGAAAGUUGUGAAAGCAACCUGACGGUACCAGAGGAAUCAGCAUCGGCUAACUCCGUGCCAGCAGCCGCGGUAAGACGGAGGAUGCAAGCGUUAUCCGGAAUGAUUGGGCGUAAAGCGUCCGCAGGUGGCAGUUCAAGUCUGCUGUCAAAGACCGGGGCUCAACCUCGGAAAGGCAGUGGAAACUGAACAGCUAGAGUAUGGUAGGGGCAAAGGGAAUUCCUGGUGUAGCGGUGAAAUGCGUAGAGAUCAGGAAGAACAUCGGUGGCGAAGGCGCUUUGCUGGACCAUAACUGACACUCAGGGACGAAAGCUAGGGGAGCGAAUGGGAUUAGAUACCCCAGUAGUCCUAGCCGUAAACGAUGGAUACUAGGUGUUGUCUGUAUCGACCCGGACAGUGCCGUAGCUAACGCGUUAAGUAUCCCGCCUGGGGAGUACGCACGCAAGUGUGAAACUCAAAGGAAUUGACGGGGGCCCGCACAAGCGGUGGAGUAUGUGGUUUAAUUCGAUGCAACGCGAAGAACCUUACCAGGAC